This 461-nucleotide ribosomal RNA is filed under the name uncultured bacterium. RNAcentral describes it as "partial 16S ribosomal RNA". It matches the Rfam family "Bacterial small subunit ribosomal RNA", at positions 338 to 795 of the family's 1533-position model. The record is from RNAcentral.
CCUACGGGAGGCAGCAGUGAGGAAUAUUGGUCAAUGGGCUUACGCCUGAACCAGCCAAGUCGCGUGAGGGAAGACUGCCCUAUGGGUUGUAAACCUCUUUUGUCAGGGAGCAACGCCGGCUACGUGUAGCCGGACUGAGAGUACCUGAAGAAAAAGCAUCGGCUAACUCCGUGCCAGCAGCCGCGGUAAUACGGAGGGUGCGAGCGUUAAUCGGAAUUACUGGGCGUAAAGCGCACGUAGGCUGUAUGACAAGUCAAGGGUGAAAUGCCACGGCUCAACCGUGGAACUGCCUUUGAAACUGUCAAACUGGAGUAUGUGAGAGGGCGGCGGAAUUCCUGGUGUAGGAGUGAAAUCCGUAGAUAUCAGGAGGAACAUCAGUGGCGAAGGCGGCCGCCUGGCACAAAACUGACGCUGAGGUGCGAAAGCGUGGGUAGCAAACAGGAUUAGAUACCCUGGUAGUC